AUGGGUUUCCACUUGGAGAGAAUGCAUCCGCAAUGCCUGCCGCCAUACUCGUCGUCCACCACACUACCGGCUUGCUCACACAGAACUAGCAGGCCAAAGGAGAAAGCGAAGAAGAUAUUUGGUUUCUCCGUAUCUCUCAUCCUCAUCAAUCUGGCUUCUAUUAUGGAGCGUGCUGAUGAGAAUCUUCUUCCAGCAGUUUACAAGGAAGUCGGUGCAGCCUUCAAUGCUGGUCCCACUGACCUGGGAUACCUUAAUUUUGUAAUGAACUUUCUUAAGUCGAUAGCAUCGCCCUUGGCCGGCAUCCUUGCUCUUCACUAUGAUCGCCCAGCAGUGCUUGCAAUAGGAACUCAAGUUGCAUUCUGGAGAGCUAUAAACGGCCUUGGACUUGCCAUUGUAAUACCAGCACUUCAGUCGUUCAUAGCGGAUAGCUACAAAGAUGGUACACGCGGAGCUGGGUUUGGUUUGUUAAGCCUCAUCGGUGCAGUAGGAGGUAUAGGUGGUAGUAUUGUGGCAACACUCAUGGCUGGGAAGGACUACUGGGGAUUGCCCGGGUGGCGUCUUGCUUUUAUUAUGGUUGCGCUUGUCAGCUUCAUAAUUGGAAUUCUUGUGUACUUGUAUUCUACUGAUCCAAGAAGAAUCCCUGGGAAUCAUCUUCUAGAUGAUGACGACUACGAGAGCAAAGAUGUUCUUCCUCCGACCUCUAUCUGGAUGGAUUCUUGGGUAGCAAUGAAGAGUGUCAUGAAAGUGAAGACAUUUCAGAUCAUUGUGUUGCAGGGGAUAAUUGGCUCAUUGCCCUGGACCGCAAUAGUUUUCUUCACCAUGUGGUUUGAACUCAUUGGUUUUGACAAUAGGAGUUCUGCAGCAUUGAACAGCCUAUUCGCCAUUGGGUGUGCCAGUGGAGCUCUCCUUGGUGGUGUACUAGCAGAUCGCCUGUCACGGCACUAUCCUGAUUCUGCACGCAUCAUGUGCGCUCAGUUUAGCGCCUUCAUGGGCAUUCCUUUCUCAUGGAUCCUCCUUACGGUCAUUCCUCAGUCAACUGACUACUGGUUUGCCUACGCCGUCACACUCUUCUUUAUGGGUAUCACCAUCAGCUGGUGUGCUACUUCGGCAAACAAUCCCAUGUUCGCGGAGGUAGUCCCUCCCAAGUACCGCACCAUGAUCUACGCCUUCGACCGGGCUUUUGAGGGCUCGUUCGCCUCACUGGCCGCUCCUGCUGUUGGCUUGGUCACUGAGAAGAUAUAUGGCUAUGACGCCAAGACUGUAAACAUCGCCAACGGAUCAGCACAAGGGGCGUAUGCACUGUCGAGAGGGCUACUAACCAUGAUGAUCCUUCCUUUUGGUAUCUGUGUCCUGUUCUACAGCCCUUUGUACCUUGUGUUCAAGCACGACAGAGACAAUGCCAAGGUAGCCAGAUUCAAGGACCAGGAGCUAAUCUGA
RNAcentral lists this ribosomal RNA (1437 nucleotides) under Triticum aestivum (bread wheat). RNAcentral describes it as "partial small subunit ribosomal RNA". The record is from RNAcentral. Lineage: Eukaryota; Viridiplantae; Streptophyta; Magnoliopsida; Poales; Poaceae.